Molecule: transfer RNA, 92 nt
Filed under: Kitasatospora herbaricolor
Lineage: Bacteria; Bacillati; Actinomycetota; Actinomycetes; Kitasatosporales; Streptomycetaceae
Description: tRNA-Ala
Source: RNAcentral
CUCUCCGUACGCACCGGCGGCGUGGGCCGGCCGGCGGCCGGCCCGGUACGCGGGAGCGGCAGCAGCGGCAGUUCGAGUCCGUCCGGGGCGUC